ACGAGCGGCGGACGGGUGAGUAAUGUCUGGGAAACUGCCUGAUGGAGGGGGAUAACUACUGGAAACGGUAGCUAAUACCGCAUAACGUCGCAAGACCAAAGAGGGGGACCUUCGGGCCUCUUGCCAUCAGAUGUGCCCAGAUGGGAUUAGCUAGUAGGUGGGGUAAUGGCUCACCUAGGCGACGAUCCCUAGCUGGUCUGAGAGGAUGACCAGCCACACUGGAACUGAGACACGGUCCAGACUCCUACGGGAGGCAGCAGUGGGGAAUAUUGCACAAUGGGCGCAAGCCUGAUGCAGCCAUGCCGCGUGUGUGAAGAAGGCCUUCGGGUUGUAAAGCACUUUCAGCGAGGAGGAAGGUGGUGAGCUUAAUACGCUCAUCAAUUGACGUUACUCGCAGAAGAAGCACCGGCUAACUCCGUGCCAGCAGCCGCGGUAAUACGGAGGGUGCAAGCGUUAAUCGGAAUUACUGGGCGUAAAGCGCACGCAGGCGGUUUGUUAAGUCAGAUGUGAAAUCCCCGGGCUCAACCUGGAACUGCAUUUGAAACUGGCAAGCUAGAGUCU
RNAcentral lists this ribosomal RNA (561 nucleotides) under Serratia marcescens. RNAcentral's name for it is "bacterial SSU rRNA". It matches the Rfam family "Bacterial small subunit ribosomal RNA", at positions 91 to 649 of the family's 1533-position model. The record is from RNAcentral. Lineage: Bacteria; Pseudomonadati; Pseudomonadota; Gammaproteobacteria; Enterobacterales; Yersiniaceae.